GAGGAAUAUUGGUCAAUGGACGUAAGUCUGAACCAGCCAAGUAGCGUGCAGGAUGACGGCCCUAUGGGUUGUAAACUGCUUUUGUAUGGGGAUAAAGUCAAUCACGUGUGAUUGUUUGCAGGUACCAUACGAAUAAGGACCGGCUAAUUCCGUGCCAGCAGCCGCGGUAAUACGGAAGGUUCGGGCGUUAUCCGGAUUUAUUGGGUUUAAAGGGAGCGUAGGCCGGAGAUUAAGUGUGUUGUGAAAUGUAGACGCUCAACGUCUGACUUGCAGCGCAUACUGGUUUUCUUGAGUACGCACAACGUUGGCGGAAUUCGUCGUGUAGCGGUGAAAUGCUUAGAUAUGACGAAGAACUCCGAUUGCGAAGGCAGCUGACGGGGGCGCAACUGACGCUGAAGCUCGAAGGUGCGGGUAUCGAACAGGAUUAGAUACCCUGGUAGUCCGCACAGUAAACGAUGGAUGCCCGCUGUUGGUACUUGGUAUCAGCGGCUAAGCGAAAGCAUUAAGCAUCCCACCUGGGGAGUACGCCGGCAACGGUG
This 539-nucleotide ribosomal RNA is filed under the name uncultured bacterium. RNAcentral's name for it is "bacterial SSU rRNA". It matches the Rfam family "Bacterial small subunit ribosomal RNA", at positions 356 to 896 of the family's 1533-position model. The record is from RNAcentral.